GGUUUUCAUGCUCUUGUUUGGGAGCUUGCGAGAGGUAACCAUGGCCGCCACAACCAACACCGCUGCCCCGCCGCGCCAGCUCUCUCAAAAGGAAGCCGACAUCCAGAUGAUGUUGGCAGCCAACGUUCACCUCGGCACCAAAAAUUGUGAUUUUCAAAUGGAGCGCUACAUCUUCAAGCGCCGCAACGAUGGUAUUUAUAUUAUCAACCUUGGUAAGACAUGGGAGAAGCUUCAACUUGCUGCUAGGGUUAUCGUUGCAAUUGAGAACCCUCAGGAUAUUAUUGUGCAAUCUGCUCGGCC
RNAcentral lists this small RNA (300 nucleotides) under Vigna angularis var. angularis. RNAcentral describes it as "Non-protein coding transcript". Lineage: Eukaryota; Viridiplantae; Streptophyta; Magnoliopsida; Fabales; Fabaceae. The record is from RNAcentral.